Molecule: ribosomal RNA, 711 nt
Filed under: Triticum aestivum (bread wheat)
Lineage: Eukaryota; Viridiplantae; Streptophyta; Magnoliopsida; Poales; Poaceae
Description: partial small subunit ribosomal RNA
Source: RNAcentral
AUGGAGGGGUCAACGAGUCAGGAUCAUGUGAUUGGGAUCCCGGUCAACAGCACGGCCUACGGCAUAGAGGAGCCCGACUUCGUGGAGGUGGAGGAGGCCAUCACCCCCCCUGAUCAUGGCGGAUUCGUCUCCGGUUCGUUCCAAUCUAUCAACAACAACGACGGCGAUUCCAACCGCUCCACGGCCACCGAUCGCGAGCAGACCAGCCAAGUCCGCAGGAAGAGGGGAAAGAUCGCCCAGGGCAUCAAAGAACACGUGACUCUGGGGCCAAAGCUGUCGGAGACGGUCAAGGGGAAGCUCACGCUGGGCGCCAGGAUCCUGCAGGCCGGCGGCGUCGAGAAGGUGUUCCGGCAGUGGUUCUCCGUGGACAAGAACGAGCGGCUGGUGAGGGCGUCGCAGUGCUACCUGUCCACCACGGCGGGUCCCAUCGCCGGGAUGCUCUUCGUCUCCACGGAGCGCGUCGCCUUCCGCAGCGACCGCUCGCUGGCCGUGGCCGCCCCCGACGGCGCCAAGCUCCGCGUGCCGUACAAGGUGACGAUACCGCUGCGCAAGGUGCGGCGCGCCGUGCCCACCGAGAACAAGCACAAGCCGGAGCAGCGCUACAUCGAGGUGGUCACCAACGACGGCUUCGAGUUCUGGUUCAUGGGCUUCGUCAGCUACCACCGGUCGCUGCAGCACCUGGAGCAGGCCAUUGCGCAGGCGCGGCGAUGA